UAGGGAAUCUUCCGCAAUGGACGCAAGUCUGACGGAGCAACGCCGCGUGAGUGAAGAAGGUUUUCGGAUCGUAAAACUCUGUUGUUAGAGAAGAACAAGUGCUAGAGUAACUGUUAGCGCCUUGACGGUAUCUAACCAGAAAGCCACGGCUAACUACGUGCCAGCAGCCGCGGUAAUACGUAGGUGGCAAGCGUUGUCCGGAUUUAUUGGGCGUAAAGCGAGCGCAGGCGGUUCCUUAAGUCUGAUGUGAAAGCCCCCGGUUCAACCGGGGAGGGUCAUUGGAAACUGGGGAACUUGAGUGCAGAAGAGGAGAGUGGAAUUCCAUGUGUAGCGGUGAAAUGCGUAGAUAUAUGGAGGAACACCAGUGGCGAAGGCGACUCUCUGGUCUGUAACUGACGCUGAGGCUCGAAAGCGUGGGUAGCAAACAGGAUUAGAUACCCUGGUAGUCCACGCCGUAAACGAUGAGUGCUAAGUGUUGGAGGGUUUCCGCCCUUCAGUGCUGCAGUUAACGCAUUAAGCACUCCGCCUGGGGAGUACGACCGCAAGGUU
Molecule: ribosomal RNA, 549 nt
Filed under: uncultured bacterium
Lineage: Bacteria
Description: bacterial SSU rRNA
Rfam family: Bacterial small subunit ribosomal RNA
Source: RNAcentral